AUUGAACGCUGGCGGCAGGCCUAACACAUGCAAGUCGAACGAGUGGCGGACGGGUGAGUAAUGUCUGGGAAACUGCCUGAUGGAGGGGGAUAACUACUGGAAACGGUAGCUCAUACCGCAUACCAUCGGAUGUGCCCAGAUGGGAUUAGCUAGUAGGUGGGGUAAAGGCUAACCUAGGCGACGAUCCCUAGCUGGUCUGAGAGGAUGACAAGCCAAACGGGAAAUGAGACACGUGCAAGACUCCUACGGGAGGCAGCAGUGGGGAAGAUUGCACAAUGGGCGCAAGCCUGAUGCAGCCAUGCCGCGUGUAUGAAGAAGGCCUUCGGGUUGUAAAGUACUUUCAGCGGGGAGGCGUUACCCGAAGAAGAAGCACCGGCUAACUCCGUGCCAGCAGCCGCGGUAAUUC
This 406-nucleotide ribosomal RNA is filed under the name uncultured bacterium. RNAcentral's name for it is "partial 16S ribosomal RNA". It matches the Rfam family "Bacterial small subunit ribosomal RNA", at positions 30 to 526 of the family's 1533-position model. The record is from RNAcentral.